RNAcentral lists this ribosomal RNA (484 nucleotides) under uncultured bacterium. RNAcentral describes it as "partial 16S ribosomal RNA". It matches the Rfam family "Bacterial small subunit ribosomal RNA", at positions 28 to 523 of the family's 1533-position model. The record is from RNAcentral.
GACGAACGCUGGCGGCGUACUUAACACAUGCAAGUCGAACGAUGAACCCGGAGCUUGCUCCGGCGGAUUAGUGGCGAACGGGUGAGUAACACGUGAGUAACCUGCCCUUGACUCUGGGAUAACUGCUAGAAAUGGUAGCUAAUACCGGAUACGACCCUCGGUGGCAUCACCAGGGGGUGGAAAGAAUUUCGGCCAAGGAUGGACUCGCGGCCUAUCAGCUAGUUGGUGAGGUAACGGCUCACCAAGGCGACGACGGGUAGCCGGCCUGAGAGGGUGACCGGCCACACUGGGACUGAGACACGGCCCAGACUCCUACGGGAGGCAGCAGUGGGGAAUAUUGCACAAUGGGCGCAAGCCUGAUGCAGCAACGCCGCGUGAGGGAUGACGGCCUUCGGGUUGUAAACCUCUUUUAGUAGGGAAGAAGCGAAGGUGACGGUACCUGCAGAAAAAGCACCGGCUAACUACGUGCCAGCCGCCGCCGUAA